CUUCAUCUAUGCCGCAGUCAGGGUCUGAGAGACGACUGAUUAUGUCUGGAAGCAGGUUAUAGAUGGCGUUAUCCUUGUUGGAGAGUUCAUUGAAAAAGUUUUGAGCCACUCCCACAAUUGCUUCCUCUGGGUCUAUAAGCAGAACUGCCAUCUCACUCACUUGGCCUUUCACCUUUACCAUGUCUUUGAGGAUGAGGUGAGUCAUCACCACUCCAGCUGUCUGCCUCACACUUU
RNAcentral lists this long non-coding RNA (234 nucleotides) under Gallus gallus (chicken). Lineage: Eukaryota; Metazoa; Chordata; Aves; Galliformes; Phasianidae. The record is from RNAcentral.